RNAcentral lists this ribosomal RNA (427 nucleotides) under uncultured bacterium. RNAcentral describes it as "partial 16S ribosomal RNA". It matches the Rfam family "Bacterial small subunit ribosomal RNA", at positions 355 to 774 of the family's 1533-position model. The record is from RNAcentral.
UGGGGAAUAUUGCACAAUGGGCGCAAGCCUGAUGCAGCCAUGCCGCGUGUAUGAAGAAGGCCUUCGGGUUGUAAAGUACUUUCAGCGGGGAGGAAGGCGAUAAGGUUAAUAACCUUGUCGAUUGACGUUACCCGCAGAAGAAGCACCGGCUAACUCCGUGCCAGCAGCCGCGGUAAUACGGAGGGGGCAAGCGUUAAUCGGAAUUACUGGGCGUAAAGCGCACGCAGGCGGUCUGUCAAGUCGGAUGUGAAAUCCCCGGGCUCAACCUGGGAACUGCAUUCGAAACUGGCAGGCUAGAGUCUUGUAGAGGGGGGUAGAAUUCCAGGUGUAGCGGUGAAAUGCGUAGAGAUCUGGAGGAAUAUCGGUGGCGAAGGCGGCCCCCUGGACAAAGACUGACGCUCAGGUGCGAAAGCGUGGGGAGCAAACA